This 301-nucleotide ribosomal RNA is filed under the name uncultured bacterium. Its description in RNAcentral is "partial 16S ribosomal RNA". It matches the Rfam family "Bacterial small subunit ribosomal RNA", at positions 509 to 807 of the family's 1533-position model. The record is from RNAcentral.
CAGUCGCCGCGGUAAUACGGAGGAUCCAAGCGUUAUCCGGAAUCAUUGGGUUUAAAGGGUCCGUAGGCGGUCUUGUAAGUCAGUGGUGAAAGCCCAUCGCUCAACGGUGGAACGGCCAUUGAUACUGCAGGACUUGAAUUAUUGGGAAGUAACUAGAAUAUGUAGUGUAGCGGUGAAAUGCUUAGAGAUUACAUGGAAUACCAAUUGCGAAGGCAGGUUACUACCAAUUGAUUGACGCUGAUGGACGAAAGCGUGGGUAGCGAACAGGAUUAGAGACCCGCGUAGUCCCUGUCUCUUAUAC